UACAGAGGGUGCAAGCGGUAAUCGGAUUUACUGGGCGUAAAGCGCGCGUAGGUGGCCAAUUAAGUCAAAUGUUAAAUCCCCGAGCUUAACUUUGGAAUUGCAUUCGAUACUGGUUGGCUAGAGUAUGGGAGAGGAUGGUAGAAUUCCAGGUGUAGCGGUGAAAUGCGUAGAGAUCUGGAGGAAUACCGAUGGCGAAGGCAGCCAUCUGGCCUCAUACUGACACUGAGGUGCGAAAGCAUGGGGAGCAAACAGG
Molecule: ribosomal RNA, 253 nt
Filed under: uncultured bacterium
Lineage: Bacteria
Description: partial 16S ribosomal RNA
Rfam family: Bacterial small subunit ribosomal RNA
Source: RNAcentral